Molecule: transfer RNA, 87 nt
Filed under: Patescibacteria group bacterium
Lineage: Bacteria
Description: tRNA-Ser
Rfam family: tRNA
About the family: Transfer RNA (tRNA) molecules are approximately 80 nucleotides in length.
Source: RNAcentral
GGAGGGUUCGCAUAGUGGUCUAGUGCGCAGACCUGGAAAGUCUGUAUGCCUGAAAGGGCAUCGGGAGUUCGAAUCUCCCACCCUCCG